Molecule: ribosomal RNA, 432 nt
Filed under: uncultured bacterium
Lineage: Bacteria
Description: bacterial SSU rRNA
Rfam family: Bacterial small subunit ribosomal RNA
Source: RNAcentral
AACGAACGCUGGCGGCAUGCUUAACACAUGCAAGUUGAACGCAGAAUAGAGCUUCGGCUCUAUUGCUGAGUAGCAAACGGGUGAGUAACGCGUGGGAAUCUGCCUUCUUGUGGGGGAUAACUAAGGGAAACUUUAGCUAAUACCGCAUACGCUCUACGGAGGAAAGGCUUCGGCCGCAAGAAGAGGAGCCCGCGUCAGAUUAGGUAGUUGGUAGGGUAAAGGCCUACCAAGCCAAUGAUCUGUAGCUGGUCUGAGAGGAUGAUCAGCCACACUGGGACUGAGACACGGGCCCAGACUCCUACGGGAGGCAGCAGUGGGGAAUAUUGGACAAUGGGGGAAACCCUGAUCCAGCAAUGCCGCGUGAAUGAAGAAGGCCUUAGGGUUGUAAAGUUCUUUCACCUGUGAAGAUAAUGACGGUAGCAGGAGAAGAAG